Molecule: long non-coding RNA, 1161 nt
Filed under: Daphnia pulex (common water flea)
Lineage: Eukaryota; Metazoa; Arthropoda; Branchiopoda; Diplostraca; Daphniidae
Description: uncharacterized LOC124192581, transcript variant X1
Source: RNAcentral
UACAAAGAAAUUUUUUCAAAUUUAAAAUAUUUGGGUUCUAUUGUCGGCGGAGUUAUACGGUCGCCAUAACGGCGGAUUGUCCCCCCAUCCGCCAGGUGGCGCGAGUGUCUUCGUGAGGAAGAAAUAUUUGCCAUUUGUUUCCGAGACGUGACUUUAAAGUGUCUUCCAAGUUGAUUGGUGUCGAUCUACAUUUUUAGCCAUUUAAUGCGAUCUGGCUUAUAAUUUCACUUGGCCAAAUGUGAUGACGUGGGUCGAAAUGUCGGCCAUUGUUAGCUGUACGUCUCAUCUCGUGCAGAAACUCUUCAGAGCUAGUUAAGUAAUUUUGUUGAUCAAUCUCCCUGCAAUAAUGUAAUAGGUUUUACUUUUAUUAGUUGAUUUUCAGGUCGGAAAUGGAGAUCCCUUUGCUCAACUGUUGCAAAAAUUUUGAACACGACAAAGUCUGAGCUUCAUGGCUGUAGUAUCAUUUAUGUGGUUUUGUUGCAGCCAGCUGGUGAAAGGUGUGAUCGAGUCAUGGUUGAGUUGCAGCUUCUGCAUGCAGUUUAUUGAGCUGGUGCUAUCCCAAGUGUAACAACUGCAGGAAAACUUCUUGAAUUGCCAGGUGAAGUCUGCGCUUCUUUGUUGCAGUCUAAUGUGCGCAUGGAUUGGUUGCAGUCAUCCAGUGAAAGGUGUGAUUAAAUUGAGCUGUUGCAUGCAGUCUUUGGUGCUGAUGUUGUCCUGGAAUGUGGGAGAGUCUCAUGCUUCAAGUCUUCUGGGAUCAGCCAUAUCUGAGUUGACGCCAGAUCAUGCUACAUUGUGGUUGCCGAAAUGUUGGACAUCUAGUAGAACUGCAAGAAGACUCCUUGAAAUGGUUUAUGUUUACGUAGCAGUGAUGUUGCUGUCCAAUAUGGCAUGUUGUUGCAGCCUAUACUGGUGAAAGAUUUUUUGCAUCGAGUUAUGCUGUUGCUGUUCCUUGGUGCCGGACUGCUGGUGUUGUGCAUAGAAGUUACAUCCAGUUUUAAUUGUUAAUUGUGUCUAUGCAGUUAACCGUUUUUAUGUUGAAAAGGGACAGAAAGGUUCCUUGGUGUUGAAUCGCUGGUGUUGUGCUACAUAAGUUACAUCCAGUAUUUUGUUUAAUUGCUAUUUGCGUCUACGAAGUUAACCGUUUAUAUGUUGAGAAUGAAA